AAUAUGGUUACAGAUAGUGUACAUACCCUGUACCACGUACGGGUCGGCAUCGGCAUCCUGCUGUGUGAGGUUGUAAACUCUGCCCUGAAUAAGAGGUCUUCCUUGGUUCUAGUUCCUCGGGCACUCUCUCGCAUAGAGCUGGGCACUACCACAUAUGCGACAGGUGUUGUUGAGGUGAUAGCAUGGUCAGUCCCCGUGAUCCCUGUCGCAGUGUUGACAGAUCUUGCCACGUGCUGCCCCUAUAGCUUGAGGGGGAGCCUGGAUCGCUGGUAUGGGCCUCUUAUU
This 285-nucleotide long non-coding RNA is filed under the name Carica papaya (papaya). Its description in RNAcentral is "long non-coding RNA (CPAP_LNC009874)". The record is from RNAcentral. Lineage: Eukaryota; Viridiplantae; Streptophyta; Magnoliopsida; Brassicales; Caricaceae.